RNAcentral lists this ribosomal RNA (492 nucleotides) under uncultured bacterium. RNAcentral describes it as "partial 16S ribosomal RNA". It matches the Rfam family "Bacterial small subunit ribosomal RNA", at positions 30 to 507 of the family's 1533-position model. The record is from RNAcentral.
AUUGAACGCUGGCGGCAUGCUUUACACAUGCAAGUCGAACGGUAACGGGCCUUCGGGUGCUGACGAGUGGCGAACGGGUGAGUAAUGCAUCGGAACGUGCCCAGAGGUGGGGGAUAACGCAGCGAAAGCUGUGCUAAUACCGCAUGUGAUCUGAGGAUGAAAGCGGGGGACCAGGCAGCAAUGUUUGGCCUCGCGCCUUUGGAGCGGCCGAUGUCAGAUUAGGUAGUUGGUGGGGUAAAGGCCUACCAAGCCGACGAUCUGUAGCUGGUCUGAGAGGACGACCAGCCACACUGGGACUGAGACACGGCCCAGACUCCUACGGGAGGCAGCAGUGGGGAAUUUUGGACAAUGGGCGCAAGCCUGAUCCAGCAAUGCCGCGUGCGGGAAGAAGGCCUUCGGGUUGUAAACCGCUUUUGUACGGAACGAAAAGGCUCUGGCUAAUACCUGGGGCUGAUGACGGUACCGUAAGAAUAAGCACCGGCUAACUACGUG